Molecule: ribosomal RNA, 4166 nt
Filed under: Pessonella sp. PRA-29
Lineage: Eukaryota; Discosea; Flabellinia; Vannellidae
Description: partial Eukaryotic large subunit ribosomal RNA
Rfam family: Eukaryotic large subunit ribosomal RNA
Source: RNAcentral
AUAAGACUUACUCCCUGAAUUUAAGCAUAUUAUUAAGGGCAGGUAAAAGAAAAUAACAAUGAUUUUCAUAGUAAUGGCGAAUGAAAUGAAAAGAGCUCAAAUUUGAAAUCUGCAAGUGAACCAGUUUGAACAUGAGAUUUGAGCUGGGAUUAACUGUAGAAUUGUAGUUUAAAUUUCUAGAUAGUAGUUUUGUCAUUCGAACUGUUGUAACAGAGUAUUAAGUUCUUUGGAAAAAGACAUUAUAAAGAGUGAAAAUCUCGUAAAUAUUCGCAACGGUCGGGCAUUGAUCUAUCUAUUUGAAAGAAGAGUCGUAUUCUUUGUGAUUAGAAUACAAAAUGGGUGGUAAAUUUCAUCUAAAGCUAAAUAUUAUACAAAGACCGAUAGCGAACAAGUAGUGUGAACGAAAGAUGCAAAGAACUUUGAAAAGAGAGUGAAAUAGUAUCUGAAACUACAUGAAAGGAAAUGAAUGAAAUUAGUAUGAUAAUAAAUACAUGAAUAAACUUGAAUUGGUUUUUUCAUUAUUGUCAAAAAUUUUUGAUAUUCUAAAUCAACAGCAAAUCGUAGCAAUGCGAUUGGUUGUGCACUUUAGAAAUUAUGUUAAAUGUUAGAUUCAAUUUUUCGACUUUUUAAUAAGAGUUUGAGGAGAGGUAGUUUAUUUGUGGCAGUUUCGGCUGUUUCACUUGUAACACACUUAUAAUCCUGAUGAACUAUAUUUUUAUUAAGUAAAGAUUGAGGCAAAAAACAAUGUGGAGAUUUAUCCCAUCGGGUCGGUAGCGACUAUUUAUUGUCAGUUUGGCGUGUGAUUUGAAGCGUAGAGGAAAAUUUUUCCUUGAGAAACUUGUUUUCUCCUGGAAUCUUCUGCACUUUCCGCGUGAAACUCGAUUUAAUAAUUGACGGUUGUUGCGAGUCGAUUAAAAUCUCACAAGAAAUCUAACAAAAUGAUUUCAUUUAUCCCGUCUUGUAACACGGAUCAAGGAGACUAACAUUGAAGAGAAUUUUAAGGUGAUUAAAACCUUAGAGUGGAAUGAAAGUGAUAACGAAAAAAGGAUUUGUAUAGCAUACAAUGCACUUUUUACCGAUUUUGAAGUAGUUAUUUCGUUGCCUCCGGGCUUUCGAUUUUCUCGAUAGAUUUGAGUAGAAUUUUCAAUGUUGGGACCCGAAAGAAGAUGAACUAUAGUUGAACUGGCUGAAGUCAGGAGAAAUCCUGAUGAAAGGCUAAAGCGGUACUGACGUGCAAAUCGUUCGUAAGAUUUGACUAUAGCGGCGAAAGACCAAUCGAAUCUUUUAAUAGCUGGUUUCCUCCGAAGUUUCCCUCAGGAUAGCAGAGUCAAUAGAACACAUUGUAUCAAAAUAGUCUGAUCUGGUAAAGCGAAUGAUUAGAAGCAUUUUUUGUGGAAUGAAACAUUCUACACUUAUUCUCAAACUUUAAAUGGGUCAGAAACGACAAUUGCUUUGGUGAAUUGUUGUUUGCAGAUAGUGAUUGACUUUAGUGGGCCGUUUUUGGUAAGCAGAACCGGCGAUGCGGAAUGAACCGAACGUCAAGUUAAAAUGCCAAAAUGAUCGUUCAUCAGAACUCACAAAAGGUGUAACUUUAUUCAGACAGUUUGGAUGUGGCUAUGGAAGUUAGAAUCAUUUAAAGAGUGUUUAACAACUCACAAACCGAAUAAAGCUGCCCUGAAAAUGAAUGGCGCUUAAACGAUCAAUUAAAAUUUUUAUAUUUAUACUUGACAAGAAAUGGAAGAGGUUUGAGGUUUUAAAUCUCAUAACCACCAUUAGCCAUUUCUUUGUAGGAGGAUGUAUUGAUAAUUUCGAAGCAAUUUUGAUGUAAAUCUAUGUGGAAUUGUCUUUAUUACAGAUCUUGUUUGUAGUAGCAAAUACAAAAGAGAGAACCUUUUGGAUUGAAGUAAAGAAAUGGUUUCGUUUGAACAUCAAUUGAAAACGAGUAAGUCGAUCCUAAAUCAGAACUUAAAUAGUUUAUUAAAAGCAAAGAUUAUUGAAAUACACGAUCUUUGAACUGAUGAAAGGGAAUUAGAUUAAUAUUUCUAAACCUGGGUAAAGAAAAUUUCAAUUUUAAAUUGAGAUUUUGGAGAUAUUUUUUAUGGCAACAUUAAAUUCAUCUGCUUUGAUACAACACUUGAGAUAUUAAAAAGAGUUAUCUUUUCUUUUUAAAAGGGUAUUUUAAAUUAAUGCGGUUGGCAAUUGUGAGUUGAUUAGCUUUUAUGCUUUUCGAUUUGUUUUUGUCGCUAAAACCUAUCGCAUUUGAAACGUGUGCGAGUCUGAAUUCAUUUCGAGAUACAUCGUUCUCUCACCCUUGAAAGAGUGGAACAAUCUAAUUUGUUUUCCAUUUAAUUUAUCUCAAUUGUUCCUUGAAACUCAAAGCGAAAGAAUUAUUUUUCCCCCAGAUCGUACAACAAUCCGCAACAGGUUCUUAAGUUUAAAAGACUCUAAUUUUUAGAAUAAAGUGGGUAAGGAAAAUCGGCAAAAUAGAUCCGUAACUUUGGGAAAAGGAUUGGCUCUAAAGACAAGAAACGCGGAUGAUGGGUGUGAGCUUGAAGAAUUUAUUUUCUUUUUGAGCGCAAACUACAUUCCAGGCGUGUCGAGGUUUCGACUUUGGCACGCCUUAAAAUUGUCAAUUUAGAACUGUUUCGGUCUCGGAGAACCCGACUGUUUAAUUAAAACAAAGCAAAGUGAUGGUCGCAAAUAUUGAUGUUGACACUUUGUGAUUUCUGCCCAGUGCUUUGAAUGUCAAUUUGAAGAAAUUCACCCAAGCGCAGGUCAACGGCGGGAGUAACUAUGACUCUCUUAAGGUAGCCAAAUGCCUCGUCAUUUAAUUGGUGACGCGCAUGAAUGGAUUAACGAGGUUCUCACUGUCCCUACUUACUAUCUAGCGAAGCAGCAGCAAAGGGAACGGACUUUGCAAAGACAGCGGGGAAAGAAGACCCUAUCGAGCUUGACUCUAGGUGUGAUAUUGUGAAAUGAUUUAAAAGGUGUAGAAUAAGGGGGAGAGGCUUGCUUCGAACUUGAAAUACCCCUACUUUUAACAUUGUUUUACUUAAAUAAUGAAUAAAGAAAAAGAUGUGCGUUUGUAUGUUUACAUGCGGCGUCGUCUUUCUUUAAGCAAACACGGCGAGAGUGAUGGUGGCGCAGGUGUGUGAGUGACAAAGGUGUUGUAAACGAAUUGCAGUUGUUUUUAAUUAAACCUGUAUUCUUUGCGGCAUUCACUUGUACAUUCUACGUCGCCACUCGCCAACUUUUGUUAUUGACAUUAUCAGCUGGGGAGUUUGGCUGGGGCGGCACAUCCGUUAAACAAUAACGCGGGUGUUCUAAGACAAGCUCAGAUAGAACAGAAAUCUAUCGUAGACGAUAAAACGAAAAGCUUGUUUGAUUUUGAUUUUCAGUACUAAUACAAACCGUGAAAGCGUGAUUUUGCGAUCCUUUAUAUUUUCGCUAUAAAUGAAUAAAUGUUUCUAUAGAGGUGUCAGAAAAGUUACCAUAGGGAUAACUGGCUUGUGGCCGCAGAGAGCUCAGAUCGACGUGGCUUUUUGAUUCUUCGAUGUCGGCUCUUCCUAUCCAUCCGAAGCAGAAUUCGGAUAGGGUGUGAUUGUUCACCACUGAAAAGGGAACGUGAGCUGGGUUUAGACCGUCGUGAGACAGGUUAGUUUUACCCUACUGUCGUGGUUGGAUUAUACCAAAAGUGUAUAUGACAAAUGGCUGCGUAACGGAAAUACGAUUCAGUACGAGAGGAACCAUCGUUUCACGCUUCAGGUAUCGGCAUUCGUUGAACAACGAUUGUGCCAAAGCUUCGCGUGCUGGAGUAUUGUUGGACGCCUCUAAACAAGAAACCACUCCAGAAACACAGCCAACUAAAUGUUGCGCUUAUUCAUCUGAGCGCAAUAGAGACUCUAUUUAUUAUUUAUUAUCAAAUAAAAGAGAAAUAAUAAGCAUCGGCUUCAUUGACCGUGCUUAAUUCCAUUUAAUUUAGUUAAUGAUUAAAUGCGUGUGUGCCAACUCGCCUCGCGCAAUCUAAUUAAAAAUUAAAAAUUUCAUUGAAUAUUUAGAGUUCUCGCAAACUAUCUACUAGUUAAAUCUCCUACAUACGAUUGGAAAUUAGUGUCAAAGGCGUGUGCGUUUUAGAGAACUCUAGUUAGUUCGAUUGAUUGAGCGUG